AUUCGACAAAAAAAAAAAUAAAUACGAAAAUAUAGAAAAAAAAAUGAAAAUAUCAGAAAAAGAAAAUAAUUUUUCGGCUCAUGUUUCGGCGAUUUUUCCCAUUUAGUUGAGAGAAAAUCGUCGCUUCGUUAACGUUUUAAAACGUUAUUUAAACGCAAAGAAAUAUAUUCAAAAUAUAACAGGGUGUAACAAAAUUAAAGUGAUACAUCUAAUUAAAAAAAAAGAAGAGAGAAUUGAAUGAAAAUCAUUUGUGUUUGAAAAGAAAAAAUCGAAGUGUUUUGACAAAGCUGCAAAAUCAGAAUAAUUUGCAGAAAAUAUUUUUGUAUAAAAAGUGACCAAAAUUUAGAAAAAAUAAAAAAAUUUGAUUUUCACCUGUGAAUUUCAUUCGUGAAAAAUCAAAUUAAAGCAAAGAUAAAAAAAAAAUUAAAUAAUUAGUGCAUAAUACCGCAUAGAAAUUUUUUCUAAUUGGAUAUUAUAUUUUUCCUCUGUAGACAGAAAAAACAUUUCAAGAAUAUACAAAAAUGUCUUCUCAAUUGCAUACUGUACGUUUAUGUCGUGGUGAUGCAACACCAUGGGGUUUCCGCUUACAAGGUGGUGCUGAUUUUGGAACACCAUUAACGGUGCAAAAGGUAAAAUUUUUAUAAGUAUAAAAA
Long non-coding RNA from Condylostylus longicornis, 653 nucleotides. RefSeq lists it as uncharacterized. The transcript is spliced from 3 exons. NCBI's taxonomy places the organism in Eukaryota, Metazoa, Arthropoda, Insecta, Diptera, Dolichopodidae. The record is from RefSeq and is a predicted model, not a curated record.